Molecule: unclassified non-coding RNA, 1462 nt
Filed under: Leishmania donovani
Lineage: Eukaryota; Euglenozoa; Kinetoplastea; Trypanosomatida; Trypanosomatidae
Description: gene:unknown
Source: RNAcentral
GACUUCCUACGCUUUCGUGCUGCAACAGCGGGGAGGCGGUCGAGUUUGCGUCCCUCUUCUCCGCCCCAGCGGUUCCUCUCGUUGUUUUCUUGCCCAUCCUCUGUCACAUCUCUGCGUGAGCCGCAAGCGCGCACGCACUGGCACACGCAUCACUCCUGAACGGGCGCGAACAUCUUUCCGCCCGCCUUCUCCCACGCCAUCACCUCGGCCGCCUCAGACGGCGCCGCUGUUAUCGCUCUUAGCACCUCUUUGCUCGUCCUUCGUGAUGGGGAAGAGGGGGCCACCCUCGCAGUGCGUGGUAUCACAGGGUCCGGUACACCCCUGCGCGGUGGGCAAGCCGAGCGGCCACCCUCUAUCCCUGGCAAUGCCCAACCAGUUUAUGGUGGUGUCAGAGUCGGGCGCCUACGACGCGGGCAUGCCAGAGCAAUGCAUCGCUGCUGGUGUCGGCGGUGAGGUCCUGGACGGCGUGGCGUCGGAGCGAUCUGCGUCAGUACGCACAGCUUGUGCGAUCCCUAUGAGGACGCAGGGUGUCGGCGCGACUGGAAAGGCAUCCCACCCCCCGGCCCUCACGCUGCCCACUGGUGUGGUGGGGGGAGCCCGAGCCACCUCGCGAGGGAUGCACCAGAGGUGGGGACCUGCAUGAUGGGGCGGGUAGAGUUUGAGGCGACGAGCAGAGCGGGGGGGGCGGGUGGAGGUUGUGGUGGGGGGUGGCCGUGCUCUCGCAUGGCUGAGCUGGCCCAUUGCUGCGACGGGCGUGUCUACCGGGUGCUUCCCACCACGCGAUGAGGAGAGGCGGGGGGCCUGUGGCAGGCCAGGGGUAGUGAAGGCAUAGGGGCCCACGACUCCUGUUGUACCGCACAAUGAGUGCGCUGCUGGAAUGGUUCGUUUUUCGCGUGUGCGUUUCUUCCGCCUGCCGUGUUUACGUGGUGUGCGGUGGCCGGGACUGAAAGCGAAAAAGAAAAGCGUGAAUGAAGGCGCGUUGUAAGCGCGAGUGGCGCGUCGUCCCUGUUUCUUGUACCGUUGCCAUCUUCGGUAGUCCGGGUUUCUCAGGCUUGGAGUCUCCUCCGAUUGCGCGUCUCUUGGCAGCUGGCGCGGUAUGGAAGUCUCUGUGGACGUUGGUGGGCGCUGGCGUGUGCUGCUGCCUUCUCGCAGAUCCGGAUGGCGCUUUGUCUGUUGUGUCCGUGGCGAACCCAUCGAGCGUGUGUGUGCUGCAGGCCCUCGCAAAGGGGGCGACGCUGCGUUGGCAUGGCUGAUUCGCAUCCCCGUACAAGGCAACAAAGGGGAACGGGAAACGAAUCCUAUGCUGCGGAAAUCGGCUUCCCAAAUCUCCCUCUCCACCUCUUCGCUGACUGGCACCGUUGCGCUCACGUUUUAUGCACAUGCGCCUGGGUGUGUGGCGCCGCUUUCUAUCGCCUUGCUUCGCCCGCGGCACAUGCCCCUUGCGUCUUUUGUGUUUGUAUAG